GGUGGAUGAGUGGCGAACGGGUGAGUAACACGUGAGUAACCUGCCCCUGAUUUCGGGAUAAGCCUGGGAAACUGGGUCUAAUACCGGAUACGACCUCCUGACGCAUGUUGGGUGGUGGAAAGUUUUUCGAUCGGGGAUGGGCUCGCGGCCUAUCAGCUUGUUGGUGGGGUAAUGGCCUACCAAGGCGACGACGGGUAGCCGGCCUGAGAGGGCGACCGGCCACACUGGGACUGAGACACGGCCCAGACUCCUACGGGAGGCAGCAGUGGGGAAUAUUGCACAAUGGGGGAAACCCUGAUGCAGCGACGCAGCGUGCGGGAUGACGGCCUUCGGGUUGUAAACCGCUUUCAGCAGGGAAGAAGCGAAAGUGACGGUACCUGCAGAAGAAGUACCGGCUAACUACGUGCCAGCAGCCGCGGUAAUACGUAGGGUACGAGCGUUGUCCGGAAUUAUUGGGCGUAAAGAGCUCGUAGGUGGUUGGUCACGUCUGCUGUGGAAACGCAACGCUUAACGUUGCGCGUGCAGUGGGUACGGGCUGACUAGAGUGCAGUAGGGGAGUCUGGAAUUCCUGGUGUAGCGGUGAAAUGCGCAGAUAUCAGGAGGAACACCGGUGGCGAAGG
This 620-nucleotide ribosomal RNA is filed under the name Brevibacterium epidermidis. RNAcentral's name for it is "bacterial SSU rRNA". It matches the Rfam family "Bacterial small subunit ribosomal RNA", at positions 86 to 721 of the family's 1533-position model. Lineage: Bacteria; Bacillati; Actinomycetota; Actinomycetes; Micrococcales; Brevibacteriaceae. The record is from RNAcentral.